This 29-nucleotide small RNA is filed under the name Bombyx mori (domestic silkworm). Its description in RNAcentral is "ovarian small RNA-36077". Lineage: Eukaryota; Metazoa; Arthropoda; Insecta; Lepidoptera; Bombycidae. The record is from RNAcentral.
UGUUCAAUGAUAGUCAUCCCUGUGACUAA